This 2476-nucleotide long non-coding RNA is filed under the name Homo sapiens (human). The record is from RNAcentral. Lineage: Eukaryota; Metazoa; Chordata; Mammalia; Primates; Hominidae.
GUAUUCUGCACGGACUGCUGGGCAGCACUAGCACUCUGGAGAAGGUCUGCCGCUGUCUGCACUUUCCUGGUUCUAUGCAGGCAGAUGAGUGUCACAGCUGUAACUGAGGCACAGAGCAGUACACACAGUGGAGCCGAUUUCCGCGAUGGCGAGAGGGGGCACCGGAGGUGACAACAAUAACAAGACUGUCCUUCGGACAAGUUUUAGGAAGAAUGACUUGGGCAAUACCAAAUGUUGAGUUAUCAAGUAUUUCGAUACCCAUAUGCAUCAUCUGCUAUUCUCAGGAUGAUGGAGUGAGUGAUGGAAUAGGUUGCCAACUGUAGUUACUCCACUCAGCACAGAAUGGCUGCGGGGAAAUAUAAUCAGACAUGCCCAAAGAAGUCUGCUUAGGGUGAAACAAAUACCUUUGAGGUUUAAAUCAGAAAGGAAGGAGAGACUGUUUCUACAGGUGUCAUACAAAAAUCAAUACUGAGCCAAGGAUUAUUGGAUCCCAUAGAACCACGGAGACUUGGUAGUGAAAUUCUUCCAAAGCAUUCCAUCCGUGCAGGCAGAUGGUGUUCCUAGGUUUGGAAAUAUAAAUCCCAUGGGAAGUCAGCUGAAGACCAUUUUAUGCAUCACUCAUCCUGUUAGAGCCCUGUGCUGUUCUGUCUCUCUAUAAGACUGGCUGAAACCACCACGGUUGUUUACAAUUUAUGCUCUAACUUUGGAUCACCUAGUUAAUACUCUAACUCCGAUUAUUACCAAAGACAAUGUUCUAUAAAAGAUAUUGUCUAUUAGAAGGAUGCUUCUGCAUUAUUAAUAAAAUCACAGGGAAAAUGCAACAUUUUGGAUGUCACAUCUGAUAAGUUGGCAGUUAAAGAACAGAAACAGCAAUAAGACUGCGUGGCUACAUUUUCCCAGUGCCACCAACUGGGAUUUAAGCUGACUAACAUUUUGAAAGCCCAGCCCAUUUCAUUCACAGCAGGAUGGCAGUGGGUGACUGAUCGUACCCGCCAGCUGGCUAAUGUCAUAAUUAACAAAGUUGCUACUACAUCUGCAAAGUUUAAUCGAAAAAUUUGCCAGUGAUAUGAUGGCCUUGUCACAGAGAUCACAAGGGACACGGAGUUGACUUUUGCUCAAGGUGGAACGACAGAGCUGUGUAGGCAAGAUGAGAAAUUGCGAACUUGUUCGGCCAAAGGAGGCUAAUAAUGAAGGGGCCGGGAAGGAGGCCAGUGCUACCAGGGUUAUCUCACAACCUCAGAUGCUGGAUAAGUCGACGGAGGCAGAAUCGCUUUGGGAUGACAUUCAGAAAGCCUGGAGUGAUUACUUGCAAGAGAAAAGCCUACCUAUUCUUUCCAAGGUGCAGGAAUAUUCCCCUGACCUGCUCAUCCAGUGGUCCAGUAAUGAAUUACUGGAGACCUGCCUUAGACAAAGAAUGCACUCGGAGCCCCAACACACCUAAAGCCAUGCUUUGAAGGAUCUGCCAAGCUCACUUUUAAUCAUGAGAAAGAAAUUACCCACACGGAGUCAGCAGAAAAUGAGAAAGUAGAGCUCGUGCUGUGAAUAAUUCCAGCAAGUGCCAAGGGGCUAGUUGAGGAAUGGCUUCAUGAGAACAUGCUCUAGGGGAACUAUUAAUAGCCCACCAGUCGGGUAGGCAGCAUUCAAUCCUUCUAUGCCUUCUUUCGCCACCUGUUGAGGUCUUUCUUCUGAAACAAAGAAGAAAUAGACAAAUCAGACUUGCCCUCUUGGAAAUGUGGUCCAGAUUUCUCUACUCCCAAGCUCCAAAAAAGGUAUACAUUGGAUGGGCUAGAUCAACUCCUCCUGAGAGCCAUAAAUCCGCCAAGAGUUGUUUUCCAUGUAAGGGUGUGGUACAAUGGGGAACACCUGAUGUUGGAGGAAAGCAGGAGGACUUUAGAGUGGAGUUGCAUUCUAAUCUCUCUGCCGCUUCAACUAUGUGACCUGGGGCAAAUGAUAUAAACUCUAUGAGCCUCUUUCCUUAUCUUUAAAAUGAAGAGAAGUAAUACCUACCUUGUAGGGCUGUUGUGAGGAUUAAAUGAAGUAAUGCAUACAGUGCCUAACAAAGUAUUUAACAUCAUAUUUUUUAAAAGCUCAUGAAAUAUUAGUUUUUCUUCCUUCCCCUCUUUCUAUUUUCUCUCCUGUUCCCUUUUCUCUCCCUCCUCUGCCCUCUCCUUCCUUCAGAUGUUAGUCUAAAACAGCACCUUGGAUCUAAGCAGCACCUUUGAGAAAGAAAAGACUGCUUCAAGAAUGUCUAGUUGCACCUCCUUUCCGUAUGUGGCCUAAAUGCCUAGGUUGGAUCAAUAGUUUAAUUUUUUUAUUGAACUGUUUAAUAUUGACUAUGGACUUACAUUCACUUUUACUGUUUUCUGUAUAUUUACUUUUGCUUGAAGUGUUUUAAUAUUGACUAUUUACCUCUGCUCAUUUUUAUUGAUUUUCUGUAUUUUUUCAAUGAAAAUUAUAAUAAAAAUUAUUUUUGUUA